UACGUAGGGUGCGAGCGUUGUCCGGAAUUAUUGGGCGUAAAGGGUGCGUAGGCGGCGCGGUAAGUCGGGUGUGAAAUCUCGGAGCUUAACUCCGAAACUGCAUUCGAUACUGCCGUGCUUGAGGACUGGAGAGGAGACUGGAAUUUACGGUGUAGCGGUGAAAUGCGUAGAUAUCGUAAGGAAGACCAGUGGCGAAGGCGGGUCUCUGGACAGUUCCUGACGCUGAGGCACGAAGGUCAGGGGAGCAAACGGG
RNAcentral lists this ribosomal RNA (253 nucleotides) under uncultured bacterium. RNAcentral's name for it is "partial 16S ribosomal RNA". It matches the Rfam family "Bacterial small subunit ribosomal RNA", at positions 524 to 776 of the family's 1533-position model. The record is from RNAcentral.